RNAcentral lists this transfer RNA (72 nucleotides) under Bos taurus (domestic cattle). It matches the Rfam family "tRNA". From Rfam's summary of the family: Transfer RNA (tRNA) molecules are approximately 80 nucleotides in length. RNAcentral also lists the same sequence under 1 other name. The record is from Rfam by way of RNAcentral. Lineage: Eukaryota; Metazoa; Chordata; Mammalia; Artiodactyla; Bovidae.
UCCCUGGUAGCUCAGUCAGUAAAGAAUCUGCCUGCCAUGCAGGAGACCUGGGUUCGAUCCCUGGGCUGGGAA